This 24-nucleotide non-coding RNA is filed under the name Arabidopsis thaliana (thale cress). The record is from RNAcentral. Lineage: Eukaryota; Viridiplantae; Streptophyta; Magnoliopsida; Brassicales; Brassicaceae.
AAGCCGCUGAUGUUACCAGAUCUC